Felis catus (domestic cat) is the source of this 85-nucleotide transfer RNA. It matches the Rfam family "tRNA". Rfam says of the family: Transfer RNA (tRNA) molecules are approximately 80 nucleotides in length. Their secondary structure includes four short double-helical elements and three loops (D, anti-codon, and T loops). Further hydrogen bonds mediate the characteristic L-shaped molecular structure. tRNAs have two regions of fundamental functional importance: the anti-codon, which is responsible for specific mRNA codon recognition, and the 3' end, to which the tRNAs corresponding amino acid is attached (by aminoacyl-tRNA synthetases). tRNAs cope with the degeneracy of the genetic code in two manners: having more than one tRNA (with a specific anti-codon) for a particular amino acid; and 'wobble' base-pairing, i.e. permitting non-standard base-pairing at the 3rd anti-codon position. The record is from Rfam. Lineage: Eukaryota; Metazoa; Chordata; Mammalia; Carnivora; Felidae.
GCCUGGGUGGCUUAAUCGGUUGAGUGUCCGACUUCGGCUCAGGUCGUGAUCUCGUGCUUUGUGGGUUCGAGCCCCACGUCGGGCU